This 507-nucleotide ribosomal RNA is filed under the name uncultured bacterium. Its description in RNAcentral is "bacterial SSU rRNA". It matches the Rfam family "Bacterial small subunit ribosomal RNA", at positions 29 to 513 of the family's 1533-position model. The record is from RNAcentral.
AGCGAACGUUAGCGGCGGGCCUAACACAUGCAAGUCGAACGCGAAAGGUCUUCGGACUGAGUAGAGUGGCGCACGGGUGAGUAACACGUAGGUAAUCUACCCUUUGGCGGGGGAUAACGUUCCGAAAGGAGCGCUAAUACCGCAUAAGGCCACGGAGUCUCCGGACGCUGUGGGAAAAGGUGGCCUCUUCUUGAAAGCUAUCACCGAAGGAUGAGCCUGCGUCCCAUCAGCUAGUUGGUAAGGUAAUGGCUUACCAAGGCGAAGACGGGUAGCUGGUUUGAGAGAAUGAUCAGCCACACUGGCACUGGAACACGGGCCAGACUCCUACGGGAGGCAGCAGUGAGGAAUAUUGGGCAAUGGGCGAAAGCCUGACCCAGCCACGCCGCGUGAGUGAUGAAGGCCCUCGGGUCGUAAAGCUCUGUGGAGAGGGACGAAAACCCUGGUUUCAAAUAGGCUCCAGGCUUGACGGUACCUCUUUAGCAAGCACCGGCUAACUCUGUGCCAGCA